Long non-coding RNA from Onychomys torridus (southern grasshopper mouse), 1215 nucleotides. RefSeq lists it as uncharacterized. Lineage: Eukaryota; Metazoa; Chordata; Mammalia; Rodentia; Cricetidae. The transcript is spliced from 3 exons. The record is from RefSeq and is a predicted model, not a curated record.
AUGGCAUCAGAUCCCCUGGAAUUGGAGUUACCAGUGAGUUGCCGUGUGGGUACUUGGAUUUGAACUUGGGUCCUCUGCAAGAGCAGCCAUUGCUUUUAAACAUCUCUCCAGCCCUGCUGGGAAUUUCAGUGUAGAAAGAAAUCCUGAUUUCUUGGUGGGAAAAUUCACCUCUGAGUGUGACAGGCAGUAAGUCAGAGUGUCUGUCUUAGCUUCAGGACACUCCGGUUUGACGGAAGCAGACCCGACAGCUGCAGGCUUGAACAUCUCCCUGGCAACCAGAAUGACAACAGGGUUCUCCAUAAGCAGCCAAGUGUGCAUGAACAGUCUUGCCGGGCCUGGAAGCCUCUUGGGGAUUUUCCCCGCAAGUGUGACACAGGGAAUUCAGAUCUGUAAGACUGGGAUCGUUUUAGAAAUUCCGAGGGCACAAACAGGCGGUGUUCCGACCUAGACUGUAUCAUUCUGGGUCUUCGGCAGACAAUAAGAAUGACUUCCUCCAAGGUGCUCAAGAAACACGCAGGGCUCAGAGCUCUUCAGCUGGAGACAGAAACGGCCGGCUGUGGACCGCACAGGAAAGCAGGCUUGACCCUCUGGCCUCAGACCCUCCCAGCGCCCUGCACGGGGAUUCUGAACCGAGGUCGGUUAUCUGCAAUUACCCACUUUCCAUCUGCCUGCCCGCCGGACCACUGUGCAUAACACCGGUUACUUCGAUUGAUCCCUCAGAUGCAUACACUCAACACAGCUCGCGGACACUGCAAACAGCAAAGCAAAUCCUCUCCCUUCUCAGCCUGCUCUGCUGCCCACUCUCCGUCCCAGGAAACGGUGCCACCAAGUCCGUCAGACACUGGCCACAGAAGAACUCAUAGUGCAGUUCCAACUUCUGGUCACCAGUUUCCCAGCAUGAAAACCGACCACAGUUAUUUUCCCUCACAGGCUUGCUUUUUGGCUAAUGAUGGCGCUACCUAAUGGAAAGCGGUAGGUUCUUAUCACCAACCAUCACCACCAUCCUCUUCUGAUAUUCCCGUAUUUUUCUACACUUCCCAAACACAUUCUGCACCUGAUUUAAUUCCCUUGAUUCUCUGAUUAUUCCUUCUGGGAGGUUUUCUUCCCAGUAUAGACCAAGGAUGACUGAAGCGCUAAGGUGAUAGACAGGGAUCGGAAGAACAUACUUGAAUUCCUACUUCUAUUUAUCUUUUAAAUCUCCUAUCUAACCUUCUG